Molecule: ribosomal RNA, 464 nt
Filed under: uncultured bacterium
Lineage: Bacteria
Description: partial 16S ribosomal RNA
Rfam family: Bacterial small subunit ribosomal RNA
Source: RNAcentral
ACGCACGCUGGCGGCGUGCUUCACCCAUGCCAGUCGUACGGUAAGGCCCUUUCGGGGGUACACGAGUGGCGAACGGGUGAGUAACACGUGAGUAACCUGCCCACAACUUUGGGAUAACGCUAGGAAACUGGUGCUAAUACUGGAUAUGUGCCCCUGCUGCAUGGUGGGGGUUGGAAAGCUCCGGCGGUUGUGGAUGGACUCGCGGCCUAUCAGCUUGUUGGUGGGGUAGUGGCCUACCAAGGCGGCGACGGGUAGCCGGCCUGAGAGGGUGACCGGCCACAUUGGGACUGAGAUACGGCCCAGACUCCUACGGGAGGCAGCAGUGGGGAAUAUUGCACAAUGGGCGCAAGCCUGAUGCAGCAACGCCGCGUGCGGGAUGACGGCCUUCGGGUUGUAAACCGCUUUCAGCAGGGACGAAGCUUUUUGUGACGGUACCUGCAGAAGAAGCACCGGCUAACUACGUG